GAGAAUGCCAUUGAGAGUGCUACUCUCCAUAUCUUCUCCGUCCGCAAAACAAACUUAACAUCCUUCAAGCAUUUCACCGGCAAAUAGUCAAGUUCACGAAGUUAGUAUAAGACAAAUUGCAAUCAAUAGGUAAGAAUGCUCAGCUCUGCUCCUAGGUUAACCUGUGCUAUGAAGGUACCCGAAGAAUAAAACUAUAAAGAAGCACAUAAGCUACUAAUUCAAGAAAUGAACAUGUGAAGAGUGGUGAAAGCGAUAACGAAUAGAUGAGAAUCGGAUCGGGGCAGCUAAACGAUGUCGUUUAUCAGAGCUUGUGAAGGGUUUGAUCAAGGCACAUCCCGUGUGUCUCAAAGCCAUGGAACAAUGGAGAGUAUCUGACAGAGAAGAGGGCAAAAAAGAAAGCAUAUACCUGUUUGAGGAAAAAACCCAUAUCCUAGUCCUAUCAAGGAAAUACAAGCUGAGGAGAGGAAAUUGUGAAGCAAUAGAAAGCUGAGUCAGCAGAGAGAUUCAGAGAGGGGGUGAUUGGUGAGAUGUAGAGGGGAAAAGUUACACUACUUUGAAAGUUUGGCUCUUGAACAAAUGAUCUUUGACAAUAACAUUUACUGUUCAGCCACUGAAAAGUUAUUUGUUGUAAAUAAGAAAAUCUAUUUGUUGUGUUAGAUAACUGUAGAGGAAAAUUUUACCAAAAUCUUAUGCAAGUUUUCUGUUUUUCCAGGCCACCCAUGUAGGUUUGUUAGUUGGUACAAAAGAACUAAAUAGAUAAUCAAGAUUUGUAUAUUUACUCUUUUUAUUUUUA
Long non-coding RNA from Glycine soja, 793 nucleotides. RefSeq lists it as uncharacterized. The transcript is spliced from 2 exons. NCBI's taxonomy places the organism in Eukaryota, Viridiplantae, Streptophyta, Magnoliopsida, Fabales, Fabaceae. The record is from RefSeq and is a predicted model, not a curated record.